This 225-nucleotide long non-coding RNA is filed under the name Elaeis guineensis (African oil palm). RNAcentral describes it as "long non-coding RNA (EGUI_LNC027498)". Lineage: Eukaryota; Viridiplantae; Streptophyta; Magnoliopsida; Arecales; Arecaceae. The record is from RNAcentral.
CAAUUCUAUAUAGUUGUUUGCCAAGACUUCGAUGAUCUCACGUGGCUUACUCAAAUUUGCAACAAAUACCUAACUCAACAUAAGGUAAGCACAUAAGAAACACAUUUUGCUGGUUGGUUAAUCUUAUAAAUGAGCAAGACUUUCAGCAAAAUGUAAUCAACUUUAUUAACUGACUAGGAAUUAUUGUCUUCCUGGGUCUUAUUUUCUCAUGUACAAGUUAGGGGU